UAUAUAUAUAUAUAUAUAUAUAUAUAGUGGAGGACAAUUUCGAGCUUUCCAAAUGUCCACAUCCUUAUUAUUAGUGUGCCCAAUACAAACAAGUCUGCCGGCAUAGGUCCUCAUUGAAGAGUUGUAGGUUUUAGACUUGUUUUUCUUCCUUUCGGAUUUCAAUUUUACGUGAUUAUAUAGGUCAUGUAACAGAAAUCAAGCAUUGGAGCUUGUGAUAUUGGGACAAAAUUAUGCCUUGCAAUAGAAAUGCGAUUCAUAUGAGGGGGUACAAGAUAUAGUUUUUGAUGCAAAACCACAAAGAUAAAUUGAUCCAACCUAGUUAGAGCCGAACAUGGAGAAUAAUUAUCAAUUAUGAUUUACUGUCAUGCCUCCAAUCCGAGAUCAUUAGCCGAAGGUUGUGGCAACUACCGCAUACUUAUAGAAAACUCUUUGUAUAAAUAUUCAAGGCAUCUCAUGGUAUCAUAAACAAGCAAUGGAAUAAAUUUAAAUAAUCAAUGUU
Molecule: long non-coding RNA, 499 nt
Filed under: Phoenix dactylifera (date palm)
Lineage: Eukaryota; Viridiplantae; Streptophyta; Magnoliopsida; Arecales; Arecaceae
Description: long non-coding RNA (PDAC_LNC003918)
Source: RNAcentral